AGAGUUUGAUCCUGGCUCAGAAUGAACGCUGGCGGCGUGCUUAACACAUGCAAGUCGUGCGCGAAGGUGGCUUCGGCCACCGGAGAGCGGCGAACGGGUGAGUAACACGUGGGUAAUCUGCCUAGGGGUGGGGGAUAACCUGGGGAAACCCGGGCUAAUACCGCAUCCGUUGCCGGGACCUCGGUCCUAGCAGGAAAGCUGGCCUCUACUUGUAAGCUAGCGCCCCUAGAGGAGCCCGCGGCUGAUUAGCUAGUUGGUGGGGUAAUGGCCCACCAAGGCAACGAUCAGUAGCCGGCCUGAGAGGGUGAUCGGCCACACUGGGACUGAGACACGGCCCAGACUCCUACGGGAGGCAGCAGUGGGGAAUAUUGGACAAUGGGCGCAAGCCUGAUCCAGCAACGCCGCGUGGAGGAUGAAGGUCUUCGGAUCGUAAACUCCUGUCAGGCGGGACGAACGGACGUCGGCAAAUAGUCGACGUCCUUGACGGUACCGCCAGAAGAAGCCCGGCUAACUCCGUGCCAGCAGCCGCGGUAAUACGAGGGGGCGAGCGUU
RNAcentral lists this ribosomal RNA (552 nucleotides) under uncultured bacterium. RNAcentral describes it as "bacterial SSU rRNA". It matches the Rfam family "Bacterial small subunit ribosomal RNA", at positions 8 to 542 of the family's 1533-position model. The record is from RNAcentral.